RNAcentral lists this ribosomal RNA (265 nucleotides) under uncultured bacterium. RNAcentral describes it as "partial 16S ribosomal RNA". It matches the Rfam family "Bacterial small subunit ribosomal RNA", at positions 793 to 1055 of the family's 1533-position model. The record is from RNAcentral.
GUCCACGCUGUAAACGAUGUGUGCUAGACGUUGGGGGGUUGCCUCCCGGUGUCGCAGCUAACGCGGUAAGCACACCGCCUGGGGAGUACGGCCGCAAGGUUAAAACUCAAAGGAAUUGACGGGGGCCCGCACAAGCGGUGGAGCAUGUGGUUCAAUUCGACGCAACGCGAAGAACCUUACCAGCUCUUGACAUGGGUAGUAUGGGCCUGGGCGACUGGGUCCUUCAGUUCGGCUGGCUACCACACAGGUGCUGCAUGGCUGUCGU